AGAGUUUGAUCCUGGCUCAGGAUGAACGCUAGCGGCAGGCCUAACACAUGCAAGCCGAGGGGCAGCACGGGUAGCAAUACCUGGUGGCGACCGGCGGACCGGUGAGUAACGCGUAUGCAACCUACCCUUAACAGGUGGAUAGCCCGGAGAAAUUCGGAUUAAGACAUCAUAAGACUACACGAGGGCAUCUGAGGGUAGUUAAAGCUGAGGUGGUUAAGGAUGGGCAUGCGUGCCAUUAGCUAGUUGGUAGGGUAACGGCCUACCAAGGCGACGAUGGCUAGGGGGUCUAAAAGGAUGGUCCCCCACACUGGUACUGAGACACGGACCAGACUCCUACGGGAGGCAGCAGUGAGGAAUAUUGGUCAAUGGGUGCAAGCCUGAACCAGCCAUGCCGCGUGCAGGAUGACAGCCCUAAGGGUUGUAAACUGCUUUUGUACGGGAAGAAAUUCAUAUUUUCCAAUGUGGUUGACGGUACUGUACGAAUAAGCAUCGGCUAACUCCGUGCCAGCAGCCGCGGUAAUACGGAGGAUGCGAGCGUUAUCCGGAUUUAUUAGGUUUAAAGGGUGCGUAGGCUGGAUUAUAAGUCAGUGGUGAAACGGUAUAGCUUAACUAUAGCACUGCCAUUGAUACUGUCGUUCUUGAGUAUAGUCGAGGUAGGCGGAAUGUGUAAUGUAGCGGUGAAAUGCUUAGAUAUUACACAGAACACCGAUUGCGUAGGCAGCUUACUAGGCUAUUACUGACGCUGAGGCACGAAAGCGUGGGGAUCAAACAGGAUUAGAUACCCUGGUAGUCCACGCUGUAAACGACGAUCACUCGCUGUAUGCGAUAUACCGUAUGUGGCUGAGCGAAAGCAAUAAGUGAUCCACCUGGGGAGUACGGCGGCAACGUUGAAACUCAAAGGAAUCGACGGGGGCCCGCACAAGCAGAGGAACAUGUGGUUUAAUUCGAUGAUACGCGAGGAACCUUACCUGGGCUUAAAUGCAGUAUGAUUAGCUGGGAAACUGGUUAUCUCUACGGAGCAGAUUGCAAGGUGCUGCAUGGCUGUCGUCAGCUCGUGCCGUGAGGUGUCGGCUUAAGUGCCAUAACGAGCGCAACCCCUAUCGUUAGUUGCCAGCGCGUAGCGGCGGGAACUCUAACGAGACUGCCAUCGUAAGGUGAGAGGAAGGUGGGGAUGACGUCAAGUCAGCACGGCCCUUACGUCCAGGGCUACACACGUGUUACAAUGGCCGGUACAGAGGGCUGCUAAAUGGUGACAUUAAGCUAAUCUCGAAAGCCGGUCUUAGUUCGGAUUGAAGUCUGCAACUCGACUUCAUGAAGCUGGAUUCGCUAGUAAUCGCGCAUCAGCAAUGGCGCGGUGAAUACGUUCCCGGGCCUUGUACACACCGCCCGUCAAGCCAUGGGAGCCGGGGGUACCUAAAGUUCGAGACCGCAAGGAUCGGCCUAGGGUAAAACU
This 1453-nucleotide ribosomal RNA is filed under the name metagenome. RNAcentral describes it as "bacterial SSU rRNA". It matches the Rfam family "Bacterial small subunit ribosomal RNA". The record is from RNAcentral.